Ailuropoda melanoleuca (giant panda) is the source of this 2293-nucleotide long non-coding RNA. RefSeq lists it as uncharacterized. The record is from RefSeq and is a predicted model, not a curated record. Lineage: Eukaryota; Metazoa; Chordata; Mammalia; Carnivora; Ursidae. The transcript is spliced from 3 exons.
GCAGGUGACUCACAAGUCUAAGGCCCCAGCUGCCUGGAGAGACGGUCUAGCAGGGUGGUUACCAGCGCACAGCCUGCACUGCGCUUAGAAACCGUGACUUUGGUGAGCUGCCUGGUCUCUGCUUCAGCUUCCUCUUCCCGAACAUGGAAACGAUAAUGGCAGUACCCACAAGAGGGAUCGUGAAGAUCAAAUAAGUCACUACUUGGAGGAGACAGGCCUUCAGUUUCUCUUGCUAAAAUACUUGAAAACAGAAUGACAAAGGAAAAGGGCCCUGGCUUCCUGUCACUCAAAGCAUGGUCUGGAUCCGCAGUAUGGACGUGGCCUUUGAGCUUGGCAGAAAGGCCGAAGCUCAGACUGCAGCCCAGACCUAUGACUCCGAAUCUGCAUUUUAACAAGAUCCCAGCUGAGUCACGGGCAAGUUUAAGGCUGAGAAGAAGUGCUCCAGCGGACUGGUUCUCAGCCCAUUGGAAUCAUAUUUGAAACAUACUGAUGUCUGGAUGCCCUCCCCUUACUCCCCCAAUUUCAUUCUAAUGUCAGGAGUACAAAAUUUUGAAAUCUCCCUGGGAAACGCCCAUGUACAGCCAAGAUGAGGACCACCCAACUAGCCCUCGGUCCAUGGGGAUUUAGGCUGCAAGAGUGGAUGGAAGUUCAAUUUCUUCAGCAAGUGCCAGUCAUGGUGUCCAGGCUGUGAUGGCUCCCACCAUCCCCUUCACUCAAGUCACUAUGUGGAUGGGGCUUGGCUUUUCAGCUGUGGGAAUUUGUAUUUCUUUGAGGUGUGGUCCUUCUCUAUCCAUCCAUUCCUGCCCACUGCUCACGGUACCCAGAGGCUGCUUGGUUGGAGAAAACAUGGCCGGAGAUCUCCAGAUCUUUUCCCAUGAGACCCUUGACCCCUGGUGGAAAAUUCAUACUCUCAUUGGGCUUGUGAGAGUUUUCUAAGUGAGUGGUACUGUGGAGAUGAUGGUUUAUGGCCUGCAGUAAGAACAGGGACUCUCCCUGGGACCUGCCCUCUAUCGUUUUGUGGGAAUGAGAGUCAGGGGGCUGCCAUUUUUUGAAUUUUCCAGAGUAGCUGGCAACUUGCAAUUUUAGGGAAAAAAUCUUCAGGUUUUUAAAAUUUGGCAGCUAAUUACAAAAAUCUAGAAGCUCUGAAGGCCAAAUGAAACAUUUCUGGAGGCCAGAGGUGGCCCAUUGAUCUCUGUUUUAACAGCAGGGAUCCCACAAUCAUGGCAGCUAACUUAGAUGAUGCCACCUUACCUUUGGAACUGGUAAAAGGGGUGAGAUGCUUGGAGUCCUCUAAGUCAUGUGACCAAAGGUGUGUCAUUCAGAUGACUCGUUAGCUCAGUACACCCUCUGCACACCUUCUGCAUGCCUAGACCUAAGCACGGCUGCUUCUGACUCCCCAUCUCAGACCUCUGUCCUCCUAGGGUCGCAGCGCACCUCUCUGCCCGCCUGGGGCCAGACGGCACAGAAGUUGUGCAGAGUAUGUGCAUUUCCCUAGGACCGCAGAACAGAAGGGAGGAGGAGAAGAUUUAUCCUCUUGACUCUUCUCUCUUCCUCUAUUUCUCUCCCCGAAUAACAGUCAGUCCAGCAGUUGACAGAGGUCCUUGUUUUCUGUUGCCACAUCUCUGCUAGUGACCGAAUGUUUCUCCCUCAAUAUUCUCUUUAUACAAGAUGAUGUGACUUGUGUUUGUUGCUAAUAUUAGAAUUGCAACAGAUGCCCUCAUUGUUGGGCCCUGGGUCCAUGUGGAGCAGAUUAAUAAAGCCAAGACAAGGCCUCAAAUGCCCAGGGACUUUAAUAGCAGAACUUGCUGCAGGAGCAAUGGGCUCUCUCAGUGUUGGGCAAGGUGGGGGGGGCAGGCCUUCGAGAGAUCCGGGACCCAAGUCCACAGUCUAAAUGCCAUCGGAAGUGUAGGCAGAGCUCUUGGGGGAUGCGGGCAGGGACACAAAGCAUCAAGAAAGGCAUCUUCAUGUCGAGACAAGCAAUAAUACUGUUUGGUAAAAAUGAUGCCACUUAAUCACCACUGGUGGCAAAAAUUAGGACGUAGGGAAACGAGACAACAAGCCAAGCGAGACAGUUCGAUAGCUACGGCCAAUGUCAUGGUUCUUAUUUCUCCUUUCCAUUUUUCUCAAUAAAGCCCUUUUAGACAAAUCAAAUGAAGGUAAUUACAAACCAUGAACCUCUUGGGUUUUAGCAUGAAUGUGGAAUAGUUUAAUUGUCUUAGUGCAUCUGAUAAGCAGCGGUGUCUUAGAUGUGAUGAAAUUCACUCACCGAAUCUGUUGGCACCUUGAUCUGGGA